RNAcentral lists this ribosomal RNA (1556 nucleotides) under Escherichia coli. RNAcentral's name for it is "bacterial SSU rRNA". It matches the Rfam family "Bacterial small subunit ribosomal RNA". Lineage: Bacteria; Pseudomonadati; Pseudomonadota; Gammaproteobacteria; Enterobacterales; Enterobacteriaceae. The record is from RNAcentral.
UUAAAUUGAAGAGUUUGAUCAUGGCUCAGAUUGAACGCUGGCGGCAGGCCUAACACAUGCAAGUCGAACGGUAACAGGAAGAAGCUUGCUUCUUUGCUGACGAGUGGCGGACGGGUGAGUAAUGUCUGGGAAACUGCCUGAUGGAGGGGGAUAACUGCUGGAAACGGUAGCUAAUACCGCAUAACGUCGCAAGACCAAAGAGGGGGACCUUCGGGCCUCUUGCCAUCGGAUGUGCCCAGAUGGGAUUAGCUAGUAGGUGGGGUAACGGCUCACCUAGGCGACGAUCCCUAGCUGGUCUGAGAGGAUGACCAGCCACACUGGAACUGAGACACGGUCCAGACUCCUACGGGAGGCAGCAGUGGGGAAUAUUGCACAAUGGGCGCAAGCCUGAUGCAGCCAUGCCGCGUGUAUGAAGAAGGCCUUCGGGUUGUAAAGUACUUUCAGCGGGGAGGAAGGGAGUAAAGUUAAUACCUUUGCUCAUUGACGUUACCCGCAGAAGAAGCACCGGCUAACUCCGUGCCAGCAGCCGCGGUAAUACGGAGGGUGCAAGCGUUAAUCGGAAUUACUGGGCGUAAAGCGCACGCAGGCGGUUUGUUAAGUCAGAUGUGAAAUCCCCGGGCUCAACCUGGGAACUGCAUCUGAUACUGGCAAGCUUGAGUCUCGUAGAGGGGGGUAGAAUUCCAGGUGUAGCGGUGAAAUGCGUAGAGAUCUGGAGGAAUACCGGUGGCGAAGGCGGCCCCCUGGACGAAGACUGACGCUCAGGUGCGAAAGCGUGGGGAGCAAACAGGAUUAGAUACCCUGGUAGUCCACGCCGUAAACGAUGUCGACUUGGAGGUUGUGCCCUUGAGGCGUGGCUUCCGGAGCUAACGCGUUAAGUCGACCGCCUGGGGAGUACGGCCGCAAGGUUAAAACUCAAAUGAAUUGACGGGGGCCCGCACAAGCGGUGGAGCAUGUGGUUUAAUUCGAUGCAACGCGAAGAACCUUACCUGGUCUUGACAUCCACGGAAGUUUUCAGAGAUGAGAAUGUGCCUUCGGGAACCGUGAGACAGGUGCUGCAUGGCUGUCGUCAGCUCGUGUUGUGAAAUGUUGGGUUAAGUCCCGCAACGAGCGCAACCCUUAUCCUUUGUUGCCAGCGGUCCGGCCGGGAACUCAAAGGAGACUGCCAGUGAUAAACUGGAGGAAGGUGGGGAUGACGUCAAGUCAUCAUGGCCCUUACGACCAGGGCUACACACGUGCUACAAUGGCGCAUACAAAGAGAAGCGACCUCGCGAGAGCAAGCGGACCUCAUAAAGUGCGUCGUAGUCCGGAUUGGAGUCUGCAACUCGACUCCAUGAAGUCGGAAUCGCUAGUAAUCGUGGAUCAGAAUGCCACGGUGAAUACGUUCCCGGGCCUUGUACACACCGCCCGUCACACCAUGGGAGUGGGUUGCAAAAGAAGUAGGUAGCUUAACCUUCGGGAGGGCGCUUACCACUUUGUGAUUCAUGACUGGGGUGAAGUCGUAACAAGGUAACCGUAGGGGAACCUGCGGUUGGAUCACCUCCUUACCUUAAAGAAGC